RNAcentral lists this unclassified non-coding RNA (405 nucleotides) under soil metagenome. RNAcentral's name for it is "partial contains 5.8S ribosomal RNA, internal transcribed spacer 2, and large subunit ribosomal RNA". The stretch from base 1 to 121 matches the Rfam family "5.8S ribosomal RNA", at positions 35 to 154 of the family's 154-position model. The record is from RNAcentral.
GAUGAAGAACGUAGCGAAAUGCGAUAAGUAAUGUGAAUUGCAGAAUUCAGUGAAUCAUCGAAUCUUUGAACGCACCUUGCGCCCUUUGGCCAUUCCGAAGGGCAUGCCUGUUUGAGUAUCAUGAACACCUCAACUCUUUAUGGUUUUCCAUGAUGAGCUUGGACUCUGGGGGUUUUGCUGGCUCACAGUCGGCUCCUCUAAAAUGAAUCAGCUUACCAGUGUUUGGUGGGUAUCAUGGGUGUGAUAACUAUCUACGCUUGUGGUUUUUCCACCAGGAAACCUUCAGCAGUGGAGGUUCGCUGGAGCUCAUAGAUGUCUCUCCUCAGUGAGGACAGCCCUUUGAAUGUUUGAUCUCAAAUCAGGUAGGACUACCCGCUGAACUUAAGCAUAUCAAUAAGCGGAGGA